Molecule: long non-coding RNA, 325 nt
Organism: Octopus sinensis (East Asian common octopus)
Lineage: Eukaryota; Metazoa; Mollusca; Cephalopoda; Octopoda; Octopodidae
Exons: 3
Source: RefSeq, a predicted model, not a curated record
UUAUUAGACUGCAGCCAUCCUGAUGGAACCACCUUCAGGAAUUUUAGUCGGAAUAAUUUACUCCAUGAUGAAAAUUGAUGCCAAAGAUUGUACAAUUUGAUCUCAACUCAGCACUUGACUAUUCUGCAGAGACCAGAAUAAGUGGAAAUCCGAAGGAGCAAUAUCUGGUGAAUAUGGACAGGGGAGUAACACAUCCCACCCGAGCUCCAGCAAUUUUUGUCUGGUUCCCAAAGCAUCAAGUGCUGAAAAUGAACUUUCUUAUCUUCUAUUUUAAAGGGUUACAGAAUUAACACAGGUUAUAGGAACAUAAACCUUCUUCCACGAA